GCCUUUCUGGCCUGUUGGAAGAGGAUGUUCUGCCAGGCAGCCAGCCUGACUCCUUCAGUUCUGCAUGAGGCAAGGAAGGAAAGUCCACUUCUGCCUCUGAGCUGGCACUCUGCGGCAAAUGCAGUCUCAGCUAUACUGGCUGGUUCUUUCCUGGGAAAUUUGGCAGACCCACACCUAAAGGAGGAGUUUCCAGAAUAGAAAUUUCAGCUGGAUAGCUGGUGGCCGACUCUCCCUGGAUGUGAAAUUCAAAUGAUCUCCAAAGCUUCCCUGUGACCAUCAGUCGCUGCACGCAGUGGUACACGCCACAUGCAGGGUGAAAGAAAAGCCAUCCCAUCCAAGAGUCCACAGUGUUGCUGGGCCCUGGUGUAUCUCAAAGCUUUGGCACCUCAGUGGAGGGAUUGUCACUGCUGGUGGAAGCUGUCUCCUAAGAUGUCUCCACCUGUCUCCACCUUUCUUUCUCGUCUCUUGACCCCUUUAGCCUGGCCCUCUGGAAGGCAGAAGGAGAUGACAAGCAGAAGGACCAGUUUUCUCCUUCUGAUGGGUAAGGAUGGAAAGGAGGUGAUGAUAAAAAGAGAAGAGGAUUUUAAAAAGUUAAAUAAUGUAAAUACAGCAUAGAGAGCAGA
Melospiza melodia melodia is the source of this 623-nucleotide long non-coding RNA. RefSeq lists it as uncharacterized. The transcript has 4 exons. NCBI's taxonomy places the organism in Eukaryota, Metazoa, Chordata, Aves, Passeriformes, Passerellidae. The record is from RefSeq and is a predicted model, not a curated record.